UACGUAGGGGGCAAGCGUUGUCCGGAAUCAUUGGGCGUAAAGCGCGUGUAGGCGGUCUGUUAAGUCUCGUGUGAAAGCCCCGGGCUCAACCCGGGAAGUGCGCGAGAUACUGGCGGACUGGAGUGGCGGAGAGGAUGGCGGAAUACCCGGUGUAGAGGUGAAAUUCGUAGAUAUCGGGUGGAACACCUGUGGCGAAGGCGGCCAUCUGGACGUCAACUGACGCUGAGACGCGAAAGCGUGGGGAGCAAACAGG
This 253-nucleotide ribosomal RNA is filed under the name uncultured bacterium. RNAcentral describes it as "partial 16S ribosomal RNA". It matches the Rfam family "Bacterial small subunit ribosomal RNA", at positions 524 to 776 of the family's 1533-position model. The record is from RNAcentral.